ACUCAGAACCAUUGAGCUGACUCUUGCCAGUAGAUACAAGUAUGGGCUGAUGGCUCAAGAGUCAGUUAUUCACUCUAAGAGAGACCACGCAACUGGAAUUUCAUCGCUAUCCAUUGUUGCCUGCCAACUCUCAGAGACUGCUGACGGUGGAUCAAUUUUAAUUUACAGCCGAUCUGGAAAGGCCAUUUAAGUAGUGGUAAUUAAGAAGCAAAAUAUGGAACUGGAAAUGUAGCAAAAUGUGGACAGUUUUAAACUAAUGAACUGCUUGAAGUCCUUUUUCUGCAAAGCCAAGCUGUUGGAUGUGAAGUUUCUCUGCAGUUACAAUAUGAGUAGAUGUUGAAUCUGGGAGAGUCAAGAGCGUG
Eptesicus fuscus (big brown bat) is the source of this 362-nucleotide long non-coding RNA. RefSeq lists it as uncharacterized. The record is from RefSeq and is a predicted model, not a curated record. The transcript has 3 exons. NCBI's taxonomy places the organism in Eukaryota, Metazoa, Chordata, Mammalia, Chiroptera, Vespertilionidae.